CCAAGUUCGAUAAGAGAAAGAGCCUUAACCAAGCUCAUCAUCAUCGUCUAUUGAUUUGGAAACUUUAAACUGACAACAAAGUUGCAAAACUUUGUGCCAAGAUUGUUAGAAAGUAGUUGAUGAGCCGGAAAGAUCCUUGAAAAGUAGUUCUUAUCUGUGCAGUUGCCUAUCGUCUAUCGAUUUUGUUGUCUGUGCUCUGCCGCUUCACGCUGCAAAUUAUUUUCACUUGACAAGCAGUGCACACAAACAGCAAGCAACACAAAAGGAAUUGCAGCGACAGCGACAGCAAAACGAUAAUAUUGCAUAGGAUUUGGGUCAAACAGCCCGGGCAGCGCAGCAAUGGAAACAGCAGGGGUCCAAUAGUAAUGCGGCUAAUUCAGCUUUUUUUUUUUGUUUUUGAACGACUCUGGUUACCCAAGAGGGUCGAUACUAGGCCUGAUUAGUUCUCCAGUUGCAUCAAGGAGUGCAUUUUGGUGGAAACCUUGGAUUUUCGUUAGCAACUUGUUGGUUUCUCCCAUGUUCUACCCAAAGUCUGAGGCUUAAGAAGUCUAAGAUCUAGCAAUAACUAUUAUCACGUUAACUAGAUGCUUACUUUUUUAGAAAGGUACAUUUUUCUGCGAUUGUUUUCGAAUCAGUAAAUAUUUGGGCACUUUUUUGAAGCUGUUUCUAUAUUGACAUUUAGCUGCUCAAGAUUUGACAACAUGUUUUUCCCACUUGACAGUUUUGUCUGGAUUAGCUCUUAGCUACUUUUGGAUUUUUGGCACCACUGUUUGCUGUACAUUUUUUGUUCUCGCCCAUCUUCUUUUUAGUAACGUACUCGCCGCUCAUCUCUCCCUGUCCAUAUGUCCGUCUCCAUCCAUUUCGAGACGGGCGGUUGGUCUGCAGUUGUCUGUUUUGUGGGGCUUGCCUGUUGUAUAAUUUGCAAAAGUUCUGCUCUACCGCCGCGCUCCAUCUCUUUCUAGUCCCCUAUGGCCCUCUCGCUCCCCUCUCGCUCUUGCUCUCAUCCCCUUUCUAUUGGACCCCUGGGUGCAAAUUGUGUUGCCCGCUGUCAGUGGCAGUUGCAUAAUCCUUUUCGUUUCGUUUCGCUUGAGUCCUCUCCGUCCUUCAUCACUUGCUACUCUUCCUAUUCUUUUGGUUCUUCUUGUCCCUAUUCCUCUUCUUCGGCGUAUCCCGCUGUUGCUGCCUCUUCUCCCGUUACCGUUACCGUUACAGUUUCAGUGGCUGUGCUUGGCGUGUCAGAAAUGUUAAACGGCUAACAAGCACACACAAACUCAAAUGCAAACAAGCCAAACACGUGACACGUUAGAAAACAGGAGCUUUUGUAUGGCCAAACACGAGGGUGGACCCUAAUUCAAACACUACCAUGGUCACACUUGCGCCAAACAUGAUCGGUCAUGUAGCUCUGCUCCUUCACAAAGAAAGUUAAACAAAUGCAAAGAAAAGCUCAAGCGACGGCAAAAAAAAUUGUUUCUAAUGAUAUACUUGCAUUUAAUGAAAUAUAGUUCACAGCCUUGAAAACAAGCAGCAGUUAAGGUCCACCCUAGGGUAUUUGAGGUGUGUGUGUGUGUAUGUGUGUGCGUGCGAAAUAAUUAACAAGGUAUUAGCCGCAUCCCAACACACGAAACGUUUGAGUGACGGUGUAGGUGUGUUUUGGGUAUGAUAUUAAACUUGAGGCUAGGUUCCAGGCCCCUUCUGUCUCUUUCCCACUUUCGUUGAACAUAUUUGCAUUGAAUCUGUUAUGCCGUUAGGACACUGAAAACAUUUUUACUUGCGUUUAAAAUCAUUACUCUAAGCUCAAAAGUAUUGUGCCAAAAAUUGUUUCCUAUAUCAUGCACCGGAUAACACUGCGUAUGAGUAAUUCUACGUUCAUCUGAGUUUGGUUUUUCCAGAGUUUUGACUCUCAGUGCAGCACAGGCAGCACAAUUGGCACUCAAGUUGAAGCGUAGGAUAGAGAUAAGGAUGCGUCAGGGGUUGUGUGGGGGGUGCAAAAGGUCAUGAAGAGCCAUGUGCGGGCGAAAUCCCAAUUUAAUUGGCCUAGAAUUCGAAUCAUCUGCCGCACACUUACACUUACAUGCACGUGUGUAUAUGUAUACGAGUAGUACAAGUGCGGUUAAAAUAAUAGUGCUAACUCACGUGUAAUAAAUUUUAACAAGCUUAAGCUAUUAAUUUGAUAAUCUAUCUGCUCUCACUAUAAGUCUGUUGGCUAUUUUAAACAUUAAAUCUUAAUGGUUACUAAAGUCGCAGCUAUUUAUUUCACUACAAUUGUGGAUUUUGUAUAUGUACAUAUGUAUGCAAAUAUAAUGUGGAUACUUUUCAGGGGUCCUAUCGAUUGCCUGGAAUUCUCCACAGCGAGAUAAAGAGAGAGAUGGCGUAACCUGAAGUUUAGCAUCUCUUUUUCAUCGGCAUGGGCAUUCAGCUGAGGCCAGCUAAAAAAUGUGGCCGCAAUAAAAAUAAGACAAACACAAAAACACCGAGGAAAACCAUGCAGAACACAAAUUGAAGGCACAAUAAUGGGGGGAAGAAUAACAAUGCUUAAAAGGGCAUUUUCAGGAAGCAUUCCUUAGCAUUCGAUAACUCAUUUUAGGUUCAAGUGGCCGAAUCGAUUGCAUAACAUGUACAGUGGUCUCCCGAUUAAAUGGGAAAAUGGUGUCAAACUAUUCGAAGGCAGGCUAUUAUAUUUUGAAGACUUGAAUAUUAUAAGCAACUUUAUUUUCGUAUGUACAUAUAUGCUAAUCAAUUUGAUUAAUGAAAGUUUCGCAAGCACUAUGCUGGCUUCUCUAACAUUAGUAUGGUGCUAUACUUUAUAUAUAUCAUUUUUAAUUGCCUUGCGUUCUUCCCGAGGGAAACCUUUAGUUUCCCAGUGAGCUGUACUUUAUGUACACACAUUUCAAUGACUGCGCGUACUUUUCCUUGCAUUAUUGGUGGCAUAGCAAUGCCCCAUGGAAUUCCAAGCUCCAUUCCCUCUUCCUCUUUAUCGUCCUCUCUCUCCAUUCGGCCAGCUGUCUCGCUUACUCUUUCGGUGCUGUCCUGUUUGGGGGCGCAGGAAAUUAAAUGGGCGCCAUGGAUUUCGUUUCAAUUUUGUUUUUUCUUUCCCCCUGAAAAGUCGGAGUUUAGUCUCCCCCAUUUGGGCCACUUGACUGCUGUUGAAGCGAAACAUAUUGGCAGCGGCAUAUGGAUAUAUUGUGUGUCCGUAUAAGCACUGCCACGCCCCCUACCCGUUGCAAACGCGCCCCCUUCCGCUGUCAGUGGCGGCGUCAGUUUGCAUUGAAAUGUGUGCAUUCGAGAUGCAUUCUGACAGUUUCUGAUUUCCGCUUCCCGGGCAAAAGCUGCUCAAUGCCUCUAUGACACUGCACUCAGCCAACAAUUAAGCCUCUUUCACACCGACGGAGUUUGUGAAUUUAAGGAGUUGUAGUUCAAGAAUUCAAAAUUGAAAUAAUAAUGUAACAUUAAAACUGAAAUAUAUUUAUGCAUUGAUAAAUUAAUAUUCGUAUAUACAUAUAUAUGUAUAUCAUCAAAGAUGAUGGUGAUAUAUAACUUCUGCAUUAAAUCCAACUAUUUUUCUGGACAGUUGGCCAUUGCUUUUUUUCCAGUGUAUUUUCACUACACGUUAACUGCAAUAUGCCAACAGAGCUUUCGAUCCGUUUGUUUAUUCGUUCGACUGCACAUCAGUUUCUUGUUGUCGUUAUUCAAUGUGCUCAACUUUAUUAACUGCGGUGGCCGUUUUUUAUUAUUCUCUAUUUGUUUUCACAAUCCAAGAAUCCGUUCUGGUGUGAAGAAGUUAAUUACUGGACUCUCGCUCGUUCUUGAGCUGGUUUUUCCUUUUCGCUGAGUAGACAAACAGGAGCAGUUCGAUUUAAAGGCCCUCAGAUCGGAAAUACUCACACAAGAGCUUUAUAAAGCGACGUCUGAAAAAAUAAACUGCGCACUGAAGGGAGUUCCUUCUUGGAAAGACGUCGUUUUCGAGAAUUCGAGGAAGUACGACACAGUCUUGGAGGGAUUUUGAAAGGACUAACAUUGCAGGAUGCGGGAAAAUACUUUAUCAUUAUAGCCGGAAUAAUGUUUUAAAUACUUUGACAAACAGAGGAUAUAUCUUAAAUCAAAAGACAGUUAGCAAACACAAAGAAACAUAUAUAUUUAUAAUAUUACAAUAAACGACGAAGAGCUUUUAGUUGAUUCUAAAAA
This is a long non-coding RNA of Drosophila yakuba, 4182 nucleotides long. RefSeq lists it as uncharacterized. Lineage: Eukaryota; Metazoa; Arthropoda; Insecta; Diptera; Drosophilidae. The transcript has 2 exons. The record is from RefSeq and is a predicted model, not a curated record.